UCAAACUUGGUCAUUUAGAGGAAGUAAAAGUCGUAACAAGGUCUCCGUUGGUGAACCUGCGGAAGGAUCAUUACCGAGUGCGGGCCCUCGCGGCCCAACCUCCCACCCUUGUCUCUAUACACCUGUUGCUUUGGCGGGCCCACCGGGGCCUCCCUGGUCGCCGGGGGACAUCCGUCCCCGGGCCCGCGCCCGCCGAAGCGCCCUGUGAACCCUGAUGAAGAUGGGCUGUCUGAGUACCAUGAAAAUUGUCAAAACUUUCAACAAUGGAUCUCUUGGUUCCGGCAUCGAUGAAGAACGCAGC
This 301-nucleotide unclassified non-coding RNA is filed under the name uncultured fungus. RNAcentral's name for it is "partial contains small subunit ribosomal RNA, internal transcribed spacer 1, and 5.8S ribosomal RNA". The stretch from base 1 to 73 matches the Rfam family "Eukaryotic small subunit ribosomal RNA", at positions 1759 to 1831 of the family's 1831-position model. The record is from RNAcentral. Lineage: Eukaryota; Fungi.